Monoraphidium neglectum is the source of this 72-nucleotide transfer RNA. It matches the Rfam family "tRNA". From Rfam's summary of the family: Transfer RNA (tRNA) molecules are approximately 80 nucleotides in length. Their secondary structure includes four short double-helical elements and three loops (D, anti-codon, and T loops). Further hydrogen bonds mediate the characteristic L-shaped molecular structure. tRNAs have two regions of fundamental functional importance: the anti-codon, which is responsible for specific mRNA codon recognition, and the 3' end, to which the tRNAs corresponding amino acid is attached (by aminoacyl-tRNA synthetases). tRNAs cope with the degeneracy of the genetic code in two manners: having more than one tRNA (with a specific anti-codon) for a particular amino acid; and 'wobble' base-pairing, i.e. permitting non-standard base-pairing at the 3rd anti-codon position. The record is from Rfam. Lineage: Eukaryota; Viridiplantae; Chlorophyta; Chlorophyceae; Sphaeropleales; Selenastraceae.
AGGCUUAUGGUGCAAUGGUUAGCACUUUGGUUUCCAAAACCAACAAUGAGGGUUCAAGUCCUUCUAAGCCUG